UAUAUAAAAGAGACUUUCAAUCUCUCCUGGUGAUGCCAACAAGGACGACACGUCAUCAAUUCGUUCAAGGAGAGCGCAACACCUGUCCUCAUUAAACAAAACGCAGCGCUCCAACCUAAUUCUCGCCUUUGUUCAUGCGAGUCUGAUUUCGGCGAGAAUGACGAUCGAUAGUUCUCGCUCUGUCUGUAACGUAACUCGACUUUAAUGGCAUUAAUACAGACGCAGUACGAGCCCUUCGAUGCGUCGUUUCCGUCGGCGAGUCUCUGCUAUAAAUUUGCUCUAAGACUGCGAUGUUUGGCCUCACCCUAACGCAUUCAGAGAAGCUCAACUCUGUCAGCGACAAUCUGUACCAAUAGAUCGGAGAAGUUGUGAAUCCAUAUAAGAAGCAACGAACCAUGACGAGAAAGUCUUCAGCUUCCACUGUGACAGGUGACAAGAGGUUUGGCUAUGACCUAGGAAGAACUCAGUCAACAAGAGAAAUCAACUAUGGAAGCCAUUGUUGACGAGAGCUCAUACGCUUUGUCGAUUGUUAUAGUCAGUGUUGGAGACGUCCCAUGGGCAGACAUGAGGAAGUUCGAUGACAUGAUCCCUAAGCGUGAAUUCAAUAACUUUCUUCUCCGAUUUGAAGUCCGCCAAGAAUUUUUUUCUCCGAUUUGAAGUCAGGCUAAACUUGCUCCAGAGGCUCUUGAAUUUCCUAUGUGUCAUUCUUGAGGAGGGUAACAUCGUUGCUUCAGGGCUUAACCGAACUAAUGAGACAGGCAAUAGAGGCCACAAGACAUGCAGAGAUGAAGCAAUCGAUGAACUUAUUGGACAAUGCCAAAAAGAUAGACUUUCACCUUCACAAGUCGCUGAGAAAUUCUCGAAAUGCGUUCUUUACGUAACAUGUGAACCUUGCAUAAUGUGUGCAUCGACCCUAUCCUUCCUCGGUAUAAAGGAAGUAUAUUAUGCAUGCGGAAAUGAUAAAUUUGGGGGUUGUGGUUCCAUAUUUUUGCUUCACUUAGAGAGUUCUUAGAUAUAAGAUAUCCUUUGUAGACCCUAAAUAUCACACUACAAACUUAUUAGAAAAAAAUCGGCCUUAUUAAUUGAAGUCUGUGAUCUCUGUUUUUUAUAGUGAAGAAUCUCAAAGAGGAAAAGUGCAGAGGAAUAAUGGCAGACGCAGCUGUAUCUCUUUUCAACUCUGUUCUUUGAUGAAACAUCUUAAACACAGUUUUUUUUUUUUUUUGUAGUUUUAGCCCCAAAGCCACACCGCCCUGUAGUUCAAAGAGAGAGGACUUAGCCUCUUAGACGCGGACAUGGUUUGAAAAUUGGAGUUUCUGAUUAAAAUAUGAAGAAGUUGAGGUGGAGGUUGUCAAAUGAUAAUUCUAUGUUUGUUUUUGCUACAUUUGGCACAUGAAACGUUAUCAAUUACAUCCAAAACAAUUGUAUAUCCGCCUAAGUUGGAGCUCUCAAUCUCAAGCUACUAAGUUGGUUUUCUAACUUAAGGAAUUAGUUGUAUGUGACUGUAAAGUUUUAUUUUUGUACGGGUAGAUGAUAGACAUGACCAUCAUUAGAAGAAUAAAAGAUUAACUCAGUUUUUA
Molecule: long non-coding RNA, 1577 nt
Organism: Brassica rapa (field mustard)
Lineage: Eukaryota; Viridiplantae; Streptophyta; Magnoliopsida; Brassicales; Brassicaceae
Source: RefSeq, a predicted model, not a curated record